RNAcentral lists this ribosomal RNA (956 nucleotides) under uncultured Planctomycetota bacterium. RNAcentral describes it as "bacterial SSU rRNA". It matches the Rfam family "Bacterial small subunit ribosomal RNA", at positions 28 to 895 of the family's 1533-position model. The record is from RNAcentral. Lineage: Bacteria; Pseudomonadati; Planctomycetota.
AACGAACGCUGGCGGCGUGGCUAAGACAUGCAAGUCGAACGGACUGAUCAAUUUAUUGACCAGUUAGUGGCGAAAGGGUGAGUAAUGGAUAGGUAACGUGCCCUGCGCCCCGGAAUAGCGUCUCCCGCACCAAUUUUGGGAUUUUGCUAUCGAUGGAUCGUGUCCCCUAUAUUGAGGAACCUCCGGAUCCGGUCGAGGCUGAGACCAAAAUUGGGCGGGAUCCGAAAGGGGCGGUAAUACCGGAAAUUUCAUUUGUCGACGGGCGAAUGUUCAAGGAUUUAUCGGCACGGGAGCGGCCUAUCUCCUAUCAGCUUGUUGGUGGGGUAAUGGCCUACCAAGGCUGCGACGGGUAGCGGGACUGAGAGGUUGGCCCGCCACAUCGGGACUGAGACACUGCCCGGACCUCCACGGAGGGCUGCAGUAACGAAUCUUGCGCAAUGGGCGAAAGCCUGACGCAGCGACGCCGCGUGUGGGAAGAAGUCUUUCGGGAUGUAAACCGCUGUCAGGGGGAAGAAAGUCCGCUUCGGCGGAUUGAUCUAACCCAGAGGAAGUCACGGCUAACUUCGUGCCAGCAGCCGCGGUAAGACGAAGGUGGCAAGCGUUGUUCGGUGUCACUGGGCUUAAAGCGUGUGUAGGCGGAAAAGUAAGCGUUUUGUGAAAGCCCUCGGCUUAACCGAGGAAUUGCUUGGCGAACUGCUUUUCUUGAGGCAAGCAGGGGUGCAUGGAACUCUUGGUGGAGCGGUGGAAUGCGUAGAUAUCAAGAGGAACGCCUGUGGUGAAAACGGUGCACUGGGCUUGUACUGACGCUGAGACACGAAAGCGUGGGGAGCGAACGGGAUUAGAUACCCCGGUAGUCCACGCCGUAAACGAUGUCUACUAGGUUGUGGUGGUUCUGACACCAGCACGGCCGAAGCAAAAGUGUUAAGUAGACCGCCUGGGGAGACGCCGGCAAGGCU